RNAcentral lists this ribosomal RNA (554 nucleotides) under uncultured bacterium. RNAcentral's name for it is "partial 16S ribosomal RNA". It matches the Rfam family "Bacterial small subunit ribosomal RNA", at positions 355 to 900 of the family's 1533-position model. The record is from RNAcentral.
UGGGGAAUAUUGCACAAUGGGCGCAAGCCUGAUGCAGCCAUGCCGCGUGUGUGAAGAAGGCCUUCGGGUUGUAAAGCACUUUCAGCGAGGAGGAAGGGUAGUGUGUUAAUAGCACAUUGCAUUGACGUUACUCGCAGAAGAAGCACCGGCUAACUCCGUGCCAGCAGCCGCGGUAAUACGGAGGGUGCAAGCGUUAAUCGGAAUUACCGGGCGUAAAGCGCACGCAGGCGGUUUGUUAAGUCAGAUGUGAAAUCCCCGCGCUUAACGUGGGAACUGCAUUUGAAACUGGCAAGCUAGAGUCUUGUAGAGGGGGGUAGAAUUCCAGGUGUAGCGGUGAAAUGCGUAGAGAUCUGGAGGAAUACCGGUGGCGAAGGCGGCCCCCUGGACAAAGACUGACGCUCAGGUGCGAAAGCGUGGGGAGCAAAACAGGAUUAGAUACCCUGGUAGUCCACGCUGUAAACGAUGUCGACUUGGAGGUUGUGCCCUUGAGGCGUGGCUUCCGGAGCUAACGCGUUAAGUCGACCGCCUGGGGAGUACGGCCGCAAGGUUAAAAC